CAGCCGCCGCGGGAAUACAGAGGGUGCAAGCGUUAAUCGGAAUUACUGGGCGUAAAGCGCGCGUAGGUGGUUCGCCAAGUUGGAUGUGAAAUCCCCGGGCUCAACCUGGGAACUGCAUCCAAAACUGGCGAGCUAGAGUAUGGUAGAGGGUGGUGGAAUUUCCUGUGUAGCGGUGAAAUGCGUAGAUAUAGGAAGGAACAUCAGUGGCGAAGGCGACCACCUGGACUGAUACUGACACUGAGGUGCGAAAGCGUGGGGAGCAAACAGGAUUAGAUACCCCAGUAGUCCUGUCUCUUAUACA
RNAcentral lists this ribosomal RNA (301 nucleotides) under uncultured bacterium. RNAcentral describes it as "partial 16S ribosomal RNA". It matches the Rfam family "Bacterial small subunit ribosomal RNA", at positions 509 to 809 of the family's 1533-position model. The record is from RNAcentral.